This 274-nucleotide ribosomal RNA is filed under the name uncultured bacterium. RNAcentral's name for it is "partial 16S ribosomal RNA". It matches the Rfam family "Bacterial small subunit ribosomal RNA", at positions 523 to 796 of the family's 1533-position model. The record is from RNAcentral.
CUACGGAGGGUGCAAGCGUUAAUCGGAAUUACUGGGCGUAAAGCGCGCGUAGGCGGCUUGUUAAGUCAGAUGUGAAAGCCCUGGGCUCAACCUGGGAACUGCAUUUGAUACUGGCAAGCUAGAGUAUGGUAGAGGAUAGUGGAAUUCCAGGUGUAGCGGUGAAAUGCGUAGAUAUCUGGAGGAACAUCAGUGGCGAAGGCGGCUGUCUGGACCAAUACUGACGCUGAGGUGCGAAAGCGUGGGGAGCAAACAGGAUUAGAUACCCUAGUAGUCC